RNAcentral lists this ribosomal RNA (384 nucleotides) under Gomphus kurilis. RNAcentral's name for it is "partial 16S ribosomal RNA". The record is from RNAcentral. Lineage: Eukaryota; Metazoa; Arthropoda; Insecta; Odonata; Gomphidae.
GUCCUCUUGUUUAUAUAUGAGGUCUGACCUGCCCGGUGAAAAUUAUUUUAACGGCCGCAGUAUCUUGACUGUGCAAAGGUAGCAUAAUCAUUAGUCUUUUAAUAGGGGGCUGGUAUGAAGGGUUUGACGAGGUGUUAACUGUCUCAUUUAGUUUGUAAUUAGAAUUUAAUUUUUCAGUUAAAAAGCUGAAAUGGUAUUGGAAGACGAGAAGACCCUAUAGAGCUUUAUAAUUAUUAUUUUAAUUAUUUUUUGUUUUAUCAUUUAUUAUUAUUAUAUUAAUUAUUUUGUUGGGGUGACAAAAAUAUAUAUUUAACUUUUUUAUUAAAAUUAACAUUGAUUUAUGAAUAUAAGAUCUAUUAUUAUUGAUUGUUAGAUUAAGUUACC